This 273-nucleotide ribosomal RNA is filed under the name uncultured bacterium. RNAcentral describes it as "partial 16S ribosomal RNA". It matches the Rfam family "Bacterial small subunit ribosomal RNA", at positions 524 to 796 of the family's 1533-position model. The record is from RNAcentral.
UACGUCGGUUGCGCGCGUGAAUCGGAAUUACUGGGCGUAAAGCGUGCGCAGGCGGUUCUAUAAGACAGAUGUGAAAUCCCCGGGCUCAACCUGGGAAUGGCAUUUGUGACUGUAGAGCUAGAGUACGGUAGAGGGGGAUGGAAUUCCGCGUGUAGCAGUGAAAUGCGUAGAUAUGCGGAGGAACACCGAUGGCGAAGGCAAUCCCCUGGACCUGUACUGAAGCUCAUGCAAGAAAGCGGGGGGAGCAAACAGGAGGCGAUAACACCGUAGUCC